AGUGAACGCUGGCGGUAGGCCUAACACAUGCAAGUCGAACGGCAGCACAGUAAGAGCUUGCUCUUACGGGUGGCGAGUGGCGGACGGGUGAGGAAUACAUCGGAAUCUACUUUUUCGUGGGGGAUAACGUAGGGAAACUUACGCUAAUACCGCAUACGACCUACGGGUGAAAGCAGGGGAUCUUCGGACCUUGCCCGAUUGAAUGAGCCGAUGUCGGAUUAGCUAGUUGGAGGGGUAAAGGCCCACCAAGGCGACGAUCCGUAGCUGGUCUGAGAGGAUGAUCAGCCACACUGGAACUGAGACACGGUCCAGACUCCUACGGGAGGCAGCAGUGGGGAAUAUUGGACAAUGGGCGCAAGCCUGAUCCAGCCAUACCGCGUGUGUGAAGAAGGCCUUCGGGUUGUAAAGCCCUUUUGUUGGGAAAGAAAAGCAGCAGGUUAAUACCCCGCUGUUCUGACGGUACCCAAAGAAUAAGCACCGGCUAACUUCGUG
RNAcentral lists this ribosomal RNA (492 nucleotides) under uncultured bacterium. RNAcentral's name for it is "partial 16S ribosomal RNA". It matches the Rfam family "Bacterial small subunit ribosomal RNA", at positions 29 to 507 of the family's 1533-position model. The record is from RNAcentral.